UGUUUUUCUCAUAACGCAUUAAGCGCUAAACGAUCAAAUGAUAAACAAAUCCUGUUAGGAAACCUAUAUAUUUGCACGUAUUCAUAACAAGAAAUCAAGUUGAUGCAUGUGCCGUAAAAGUUAUUACUAGAAUUCGGGAUUUGCUAUCAUCGUAACCGGAACAAUGUCGUCUGUCAGGAUAUUGGUUGUUUUCUUAGUUGUGUGCGUCCUCGCAGGGAGUUUAGUGCAGCAGGCAGAAGCGACCGAAGCGUGCGACUGUAAGUUUUUCUGUGGAAGAAAAGAAUGCCAAGUCGGAAGGUGUGGCAGGUGGGGUUGGCGUAGAACGUGUUGUCCUAAUACCAGUCCGAGAUGCCACGAAUGAAUCUUUGAUUCCAUGGCGGAUACAACAUACGAACACAAUCGAUGACUAUAUUUAUCUAAUAAACACUGACUAUAUUUAUCUAAUAAAGACAAGACAAUUUAUUUCGUAAAAAGGCCACCGGCCAAAAACACAAUAUACAAAAAAGUAACAUUAUACAUGCAUGAGUUGUGAAAAGUUUUAUACGUAUGCUGUUCGUAUUAAGAAAUAAAUGAAUAAUGUAAUUUUAUUCAAUAUAC
Long non-coding RNA from Dreissena polymorpha, 597 nucleotides. RefSeq lists it as uncharacterized. The transcript has 4 exons. The record is from RefSeq and is a predicted model, not a curated record. NCBI's taxonomy places the organism in Eukaryota, Metazoa, Mollusca, Bivalvia, Myida, Dreissenidae.